AUUACUUGGGGAUCUUGUUAAAAUGCAGAUUCUCAUGUGGGGUGGGGCCAAGAUUUUGCAUUUCUAACAAGUUCCCAGAUAAUG
RNAcentral lists this microRNA precursor (84 nucleotides) under Echinops telfairi (small Madagascar hedgehog). RNAcentral's name for it is "miRNA (ENSETEG00000025180.1)". It matches the Rfam family "mir-544 microRNA precursor family". Lineage: Eukaryota; Metazoa; Chordata; Mammalia; Afrosoricida; Tenrecidae. The record is from RNAcentral.